UACGUAGGGGGCGAGCGUUGUCCGGAUUCAUUGGGCGUAAAGGGUGCGUAGGCGGCGCGGUAAGUCGGGUGUGAAAUCUCGGGGCUUAACUCCGAAACUGCAUUCGAUACUGCCGUGCUUGAGGACUGGAGAGGAGACUGGAAUUUACGGUGUAGCGGUGAAAUGCGUAGAUAUCGUAAGGAAGACCAGUGGCGAAGGCGGGUCUCUGGACAGUUCCUGACGCUGAGGCACGAAGGCCAGGGGAGCAAACGGG
Molecule: ribosomal RNA, 253 nt
Filed under: uncultured bacterium
Lineage: Bacteria
Description: partial 16S ribosomal RNA
Rfam family: Bacterial small subunit ribosomal RNA
Source: RNAcentral